GAUCCUGGCUCAGGAUGAACGCUAGCUACAGGCUUAACACAUGCAAGUCGAGGGGCAGCACAGUGUAGCAAUACAUGGGUGGCGACCGGCGCACGGGUGCGUAACGCGUAUCCAACCUUCCCGAUACUCAGGGAUAGCCUUCCGAAAGGGAGAUUAAUACCUGAUGGUGUUUCAAUUCCGCAUGUUAAUGAAACUAAAGAUUUAUCGGUAUCGGAUGGGGAUGCGUGACAUUAGAUAGUAGGCGGGGUAACGGCCCACCUAGUCUACGAUGUCUAGGGGUUCUGAGAGGAAGGUCCCCCACACUGGAACUGAGACACGGUCCAGACUCCUACGGGAGGCAGCAGUGAGGAAUAUUGGUCAAUGGUCGGAAGACUGAACCAGCCAAGUAGCGUGAAGGAUGAAGGUUCUAUGGAUUGUAAACUUCUUUUAUACGGGAAUAAAACCUCCCACGUGUGGGAGCUUGUAUGUACCGUAUGAAUAAGCAUCGGCUAACUCCGUG
Molecule: ribosomal RNA, 499 nt
Filed under: uncultured bacterium
Lineage: Bacteria
Description: bacterial SSU rRNA
Rfam family: Bacterial small subunit ribosomal RNA
Source: RNAcentral